This is a non-coding RNA of Gasterosteus aculeatus aculeatus (three-spined stickleback), 13402 nucleotides long. The record is from RefSeq and is a predicted model, not a curated record. NCBI's taxonomy places the organism in Eukaryota, Metazoa, Chordata, Actinopteri, Perciformes, Gasterosteidae.
AAAUAAUUCUAAAUUAUGUAUAAAUGACCUGUUGGAGGUUGCAUGUCUUUUAUUACAUUUUUAGUUUUUUCAUAAAGCUGUGUUCUUUCAUCAAAAAAACACCAAACUCCUCCAAACUAUACGUAAUGCCCAUUGCGGUCCCGUCAUCCAUAAGCAAUAUGUUCUAUAUGAUGCAUCAUGGGCAUUCAUAGUGAAGUAGUGAAGGAUUCAUUUUUUGCCAAAUGCAAUAGCAAUAGCUUGUGUAUUUGACAAAUGAAGGUUUACCUGUAUUCGCUGAAUAGAAUUGAGUGUUACAUCUGUAUAUGACAUGCAACAUGCCAUAAGACGCCAGCAUCUUUCUAAACCCCACAUCUGUAUAAGUAAAUAAAAAGCCUGGAUUAUUUAAUUCAGCUGCUGCAAAGCAAUUUUUGUCUACUCACAGUUAUUGAUUGAAUUCAGAGAAAUGUUCUUGCAAAUAAGAGAGGUAAAGCACUAUUCUAUCAGGAAUGUUCAUCAUCAUUUCUUUCAGUUUUCUUAUAACAAGAAAGGGAAACAUUUCAAUAAUAAUAGUCAAUAAUAGCUUUUUAUUUAAUGGUUUAACUAGUGCACUCCUCUUCAGACUUUAAUGGGCUCUAUGUGACCCAUCAGCUAAAACUAGUUUGACGAUGCCACGCAAUUGUAAAUCUGGGUUUUGGAAGUUAAAAAUAAUAAUUUACAAAUAACAAUGGCAAAGAAAAAAAUAUAUCAAAAAGCAGCACUUUUAUUUAUCAGGUGGAGAAAUUAAGGGGUGACUUCAUCUCCUGUAUCAGUUUUAUAUUCACGCACCCAUGCAGACACACACACACACACACAUACACCUACACACAUGUCCUGGUCUCCUCCAUUGGUCCUUCCCAGCCCCCUUUCACUAAUCGGCUCUCGUUUUUCCACUCUUCCUCCUCCCACCCUCUUCUCUCCCUCCUCCCCGGCACUCAUGUCCGAAGGUGAUCAAAAUCCUCGUAUGGAGAAAUCCUGGUGAUCCAGCAGGGCCGGGCAGGAAAGGUCACGGAGAGAGUCUGUAAAAUGGAUGAAGCCUAAUGAUUAGCUCAACCUUUACCUAAUCAAUAAUCAUUUAUCCAACAAUAUUGCCGGCGGCCACAGUCCCAUUUGCCAUUAACCUCGGCCGUGAGGAAAGAGGCCGUAUUGUUUCCUGUGGCAGCUUUACGGCGCUCAGAUGAGUGGUAGGGGCCCGGGAUGGAGGAGUCUUGAGGUUGGAUCUCGAUGGCUCGGAUCCUAUUAAGGCACCGGAGGUAUUUUAGCGCCACAGUGUCGCAUAAUUACCAUCUUGAAUGACUGACUGAGACGCUGGCUGAGAUGAUGGCUGUCUACGCGGCAGAAGAGGACUGUAUUUUUAUGGAAGGACAUAACAAUGAAAGUCGUCUUACGCACAUCGUAUUAAGAUCUGCAUAUUGAAAUUGAGUUAAAAAUACAUAGGAGUGUAACUUUGAACUGGAAUCUUUUUUACCUCCAAGGAGCUUCAUUUUGCUUUAGUUUUUAGAAAGACAAUCUGACAACAAUAAUAUGUUUGAUUUAGCUUUUAUUGCUUUUUACAUCUGCAGCCUCUUCUGCAACAUCUCUCAGACGCACACACACACACACACACACACACACACACACAUGCAGCGGCAGCAGAGCCGCCUGUCUCCUCUGUGUCUCUCCAUGAUGCCAUCUUCAUCAUAACCUCUCCCUCUUUAUUGCCUUUAAUGACUUCCCCUCUCCUUUCAUUAAUUCUUUAUCGAUUCCUCCUGACGUCGCCUGAAUUAUUUUCCAAUUACAGCAAAUAAAAGAAAGGGGAAAGCCACUGCAAAUACUUGCCUGCAUAUGUGUGUGUCUGUGUGGGAGGUGUGUGUUCGUGUGCACGGUUUUGUACCUACAACAACAUUUAACUCACUGCACACAGACAGUGUAUACCUGCACACAUCCACAAGCGGUUUAGUUUCUUUCUUUAUCAUAUAAAUACACACUUUAACACACUCUUACACGCACACACAGGCAGAAGAGGCGGAAUGUGAAUGUGACAGCAGAGAGAGAGUGGUAAAAGGUCAUAGGAAGCUAAUGGCUCCAGCUAUCUUACAUGCAAUAAGUUCAGACACUUUGGACAGGUGUGUGUGUGUGUGUGUGUGUGUGUGUCACAGAGGACUGGUGGGGCCGGGGGUUCGUGGAUGUGAGAAGAAAACAAUACACACCAAUGGUAGAAUUUACAAGGUCCAACACACACACACAAACACACUGGUACAGUGUUUUUGCCACAAUAGAAACUAUACGGGCUCUUAAAAUGCUAGUUUUGAAAGCAUGAGCAUCAGCUAGAUACCAGAUGUCAGAUAGAUACCAGAAGUCGCUGGCAGAAUUGGCCUCAGAGGUGUGUUAGAUGUCUGUGGGUAAAACUCCAGGGUCCUUAAUUACAACAAUUAUUCCCGUUUGUAUCCACGUGUAUCAACUCUUAUGUUGUCUUAUGAUGCUCAAUGACAAAACAAAGACAGUGACCCUACGCAGGUUUUUUGGGUGUAAUGGAGAUGGAAUUUUUUUUUUUCCUGCAGGGAAAUCUUAUAAUGCGCUUGUACAGAGCUAACCCCCCCCCCCACUCCUGUUGUCCAAUCAAAUCAUAUUACUCUUAGGCAACGUGUUAGAGGAAGUGAUUAGUUAAUGAUGUAAAACAUGGUUCAGAUGAGCCCGAUGCGAAUACACAAAGCACAGACGUGCACAAGGAGAGGUCUUCUUUUUCUAUCAGUCACAUUUUCGUCGCAUGAUUGAGAAAUGAGCAGCAAGCGGGGAAAUAAAAUCAACUCCUAUUAUGCACCUAAACCUCAGAAGUGUUUUGUUCCCUUUGCUGUGGUAAACCAGAGCCACGUGUUACCUGCUUUGAUAUGUACAGACCUCUCCCUCCGAAGGCUGUCUGUACGUUUGCAUUUAUGCUAUGUACAACAACGUGCCCCCCCUCCCACAACCCCCCGCCUCCCGGGCCUCCACACACAUGCACGUUUAAAUGCGUCCCCAGAGUGUCCUGACCUCUCCCAUCCUUCCUUUGAGAGUGUGUGUGAUAUACUGGUCUCUAAUUGUCAGGUCUGGCUCCCACAUUCCUCGCCUCGAACAGCCUACCAAUACUGUGUCACUUUAACAACCGCGAAUUAUCACUGAGAUGGAGAUCUGGGCUUCACGGCGGCUCUAAUACAGAUACAUUUCCUUCCAUAAAUUGGCCCCUCCACCCAUCGGCACUGCUACUCAUACACGCACACGACUUACUACCUGUUCGCAAACCCUCCACCCCAACAUUCACCGCUCUUUGAGUGACGUUUUUACUACGACUUUAUCGCGUCUGCCCUGGAGAUGGUGAGAGUCAUCACUUCGCCAAAUGUGAGCUAAAAGUAUCCGGCUAAAAGGGGAAGAGAUGAAUCUUGCCGGUUGGGCGUCAUUUGACCGGGGUUAUUGAUUCCCACAGAGCCCAGUGGGAUCCGAGCGGCUUUUCCCAUAAAGUCGGCGGCCGUGGUGCCAGCAGCCGGGGCGACAAGGACGGGGGUUCAAACUGGAUGAUAAUAUGCAUGUGUCCAUGUCUGCUCGCUGCUUUUAAUAACAUCUGUUCUUGCUUACUCUUUGCUCCAGCUACACGCUGCUUCAUCUUUCACAGACGCAUCAGAUCCUUUUUGUUUUCCUUUUUCAAGUUAGUCCCUAAGAGGAUACGUAUGUUUCUGCUCUUUUUCCUUUUGUGUCCGUUGGUACAAUAAGGUUUGAAUGCAUUCAGAGGCAUCUCAUUUUUCUCUGUCAAACUUAUAACGAGGCAGCAGAACACAUCAACAGAUAUCCCUGAAUUUCCCUUUAAAAACAAUGAUCAAUGGGGAAAAAAUAGCCAUUGCCAAAUUGUACCAUUAGAUGCCCCAACCUGCCAUGUGGUUCAUUUUUAUAUCAGUGCUAAACAAAAAUAAUUCCAACCACCUAAUCGGAUGCAGACUAAACACUUCAGCAUGGCCGUGCGAAGCAGAGCAGUCAUCUUCUCCGGCGGACGGGAUGCCACGUAAGUGUUUCAGUGUGUCCUCAUAGAAGUCCAGGCCAACUCUGCUACAGGCUCAGCCAGGACCGGGGGUUCGCAGUAAUGAUAGGCAGAUUGAAAAAAAGAGACCCCUGAUUGAUUUCCUACAUCUUGAUUUGAUAUCCUGAAUUAAUUAUUUCAACUUGAAUAAUAUAUAAGGGAAAAAUAAAUGUAGAACACUCAAGGGAAACAAAGCGGCGGCUUCACUACCGCUGCUUCUGCCGACGUUGUUCUGUGCUGCAUAGACCCUUUAUCUCUUGGUCCAUCUCAUCCCCCGUUGCUCUGUAAGGAAGUGUGUGUGGUUACAGUCAGCUGUGGUUCAUGUGUGUGUUGCAGUGUGUUUUGUGUCUGUGUGUGUGGCAGGGGAAGAAAAUCGUUUGUGUCAGUCUGUUUAGAAUAAAGACUGUUCCGCACAAAUGUUAUGAAACUGUAAUACCUGUGAUAAUUAACAUAACUGUGGGUCCAUUCAGGGGAAAAAAAGUAAAAAAUAGCAAAAACUUUUGUAUUAAAUGUUGUGACUUUGACAUACCAUUCUUCAUAUGGAAAUGAUAAAGAGUCACAAGCGAGUGACGUCUGAGAGGAGACAGUCUGCUCUGAACAACAAUGGUGGAUCUAAAAGAGGUUAACCUACAUGCUAUGGUAUCAUCAGACAUUCCAGAACUGGAAGGUGUUUCUUCAUUGAUAGAGGAACAGAUAAUAACAAGAAAAUCCUUCUCACUAUUGGAAGAAAAUAACAGGCUUUAGUUUCGGCAUGUUUGGCAGAUGGUCCAUACAAAUAACCUGCCAGUUAAAAAAAAAUAUUUUCCAAUGAAUCUUUUAAGAUGGUUUACAAACAAUUUGGUGCAUCAGGUCAUUAAAACACAAUUGAUCAUACUUAAAUAAUAAUUAAUUUGAGGACCCAUCGUAUGCCUAUUCAGUUGAUAUGGUUCCUUGGGGUGUUAAUGAAAUGUCUGUAAAAUAUUUUGGUCAAAAUACCACAAGGAUAAUUUAAAACAGCACCCUUUUUACACUGUCUAAAAAAGCCCUGCACAGAGUGACCUGUUUUGCGUGCCUGUUCCUUUAAUGCUAAUGUGCCAGCAUGUAAGAGAGACUCCCAUUUCAUUGUGAUGAGAGAAUGAUAAGGAAGCUCAUUCCCAGUCACUCAAGCAUGACGUUUCCGACAUACAAGAACCAUAACAAAUCACAGAAGUUGUUUUUUUGGGUCGGUAGGCAUGCAUUUUCAUUUUCAUAAUAUGUCCAUAAUAUAUGUGUUAUUUAAAAAACAAUCCAAUAACAAUGUGCAAUUAAAAGGUUUCUCUCACUGCGACAAACCCACCAAGAAGUGUUGCCCAAGUGCAGUUCCCACCAGCUCUACAAACCAUUUCAGUGUCUUUAAGCUCAUUGUUUGUUUUCUAAAGACAUAAUAUCAGCAUGGUUUCAUUCUAAUAGCUCAAAUGAAACCUUUAUUCACCGAUUGCCCAGUGAUUAUCAAUGGACAGACAACAUAAUUAAGAAUUAAUUAGCUAACAAAUUAGAUAUGACCUUCAGGACUUAGUAGCGACCAAAAUAAAGCAGAAAGAAGACCGGAAAUUGGACUUACAUUUUUGAGGCUCCUGCUGGGUAUAGAAAUAGUUUAUUAGAUGCAUAUAUGUUUUCUAUUUUUAAAAGUGGUAAAAAAUUUUCAACACACGCCGGCUUCACUAAAUAAUGACUUUUUGGCUGGACCAAUAACUGAUAAAAGAUGGAGAACUAUUACAUUUUAAAUCGUGCAGCUUUUCAAGCCUUUACAGCAGUGAUCCCUUAAAUAUUGUUUAACAGGAAAACAAGAUUGGAGGCCGCUGCUUUACAGCACUGGUUUAGAGGCCGAGGAAACUCCCACGUGGAUUGAAUGCAUUGUAAAUCCUCUCACAUGCUGCUAAUCAGCCAAUGAAAUCUGUGCAUUGCACUAAGCACUUCAGUUUGAGUCAGAUGAGAUAUGGUCACACAGGGGAGAAACGAGAUGACAGAUUAUAAUCUGAGAUAAAAAGUUAGUCAGACAGAAGUCAUUUCAACUGCCGUUUGCACAUAAAAGUGGAAACUAGACAGCAAAAACAAAGCUUUCAAUCAUUAAUGGAGAGACUCUUUCAUCUUCACUGUUACUCUUAUGUUCUGAGAAAAAGCAAAUAAUUUAUUACAUUUAUCCUAAAUGCUUAUACGGUAAGAUAAGAAACUAUAUCAUGUCAAACAAGUUGUUGUCAUGUUCUGGACAUUUUCUAUUACUGGAGCCCUUUGAACUUGAUUUGAAUUAAUCUGCUAUAAUUAGAAAUAGAAGGCGUUUUUAUUGUCAAGUAUUAUUUCACAUAUACAGUAAAUUGUUCUCUGCAUUUAACCCGUCCCACACAGUGUGAGCAGUGUGCUGCUGUGAAGGCACCCAGGGAGCAGCCGGGGUUCGAACUGCCAACCCUGCAGUUCCUGCCACACCCUCUCUACUCCAUGCGCCAUGGUCACCCACAAACUCAUGCACUUUAGAAAUAAUCAAGACUAUUGAUGAAGCAUUGUUACGAUCAUCACAAAAUCAAAUGUCCAACUAUUGGGUUUCAGGGGAGGUUUGUACAAGCUUAUUCUUUAAUUAAUCAACAGUUCUGUUGUUGAUAUCACAAGAAAGAUAGUUUCACCAAGCGAAAAAGUGUUUCAAGCCACAGUAUCAUCGGCGUAUAGCUCAUUUCACAGUAUCAGGAUCCAAACUCAGCUCAUUCCGUUGUGGCAUCAGAGGGAACAUUAAACACUCCCCCUGCUCAUCUCCUCCAGGCCAACAGAGAAAAGGGGAUAAGGAGAAGGUGAGAGAUGCCGAGGGAACUUGGGAAGCUAUCAGCAGGGUGCAAUUGGACAACCGUGCUCUGCCUUCCUUCACUGCCACCUAUUUUGUUACACCUCUUUCUCAGCCGACACCCAGAUUACCAUACAGGAAGAUGACUGCCAUGUAGUUGCUGAUUUACAGGGAGCGUGAGCCAACCAAUCUGAAAGUCAAGAUCAACAGUAAAAGGCGCCCUCUCUUACUUAGAAUCUGUUGUCUCAAUUCUCCUCCCUCCUCCCCUUCAUCCGUAUUUUUCUUCAUAUUUUAAUCUAAGCGAGAAAUGAAUAGGGAGGAAUUUAAUUCCAUCGCCUCCAGAAAGCUCCGAUAAGCGUUCAUUGUCGUUCCACUUUCCUUUUGUAACCUUCCGGCUUGAGGCCUGGGAUCGUGACAACUUUAUAUAUGAAUGGCCGCGCACAAAUUGCCACUGACGCCUUUAGAUGAGCUGCACUGUGAUCUUGGAAUAUGAAAACACCCCUGACAGAUUUUUCUUAUUGACACUCAAAGAUUAACCCCAUGUGCACUGGCAGCCCAUUCUCACUCAUCUCAUCUCACACAUUAAAAAGGACCACUGCUGCACGUACCUCCAUCUAAAGCAGACAUAAUUAACUCCAUGGGUAUUUUAGGAUAAUUGUUCUAACUUACGAAUAAUACUUUUUUUCCCCUUUCCUUCAGCGCAGCCUGUUUUAUGGCAAGGAUCAAUGAUGUCACAUAAAGCACGAGGCGCAGCUCUUAAUAAUCGGGACAAAUACACCAUUAACUUUUGAAUUAAUUUCCUGCAUCUGGAUGGGCUAUGGUAAACUGUUCCUCAUUACGGAAGCAGAUGCUUUAAAAGCCAGACUGGAUGGGAUCAAAGGCCUAUCCAGACUAACCUGCUUUAGCUCAUUUUCAUUAUCAUCCGCUGACUAAAACAUCUACUGCAUUAUUCACAUCAGUUUUAAAGCUUGGCCCUUUUUCUGCCUUUUUGAGCACUUUUUUUGUUUUCUUCAGAAGAUGUUAUAGAGGACAGAUAGCCUCUCGUCAUGUCAAUCAAAUCCUCCGCAUUUAUUAUGAUAACUCACCGAAUGCAAAACAAACAAUGGUAAACAAUGUUUCCUUUAGCAGCCAUAGAGUUAAGCUAUGCAGUGUGUGUGUGUGCGUUUUGUGUGAGAUAAUGUGUAUGUGCUGCUGGGCAAAGGCCGUAGUGCUGAUGGUAAUGUAUUUUUCUGCAAACAAGAAAGAUUGCUGAGUCCCUGCCUCCUGGAGAAAGGGGGCGGCGGGGUGCUGCAUGGCGAUGGCGGGGAUUCAGGUAUAUGGAUGGCCUAAGGAGGUUUCCAUCAUUCAUAAAGCACGGCCGCCGUACGCACCCUGACGCCGAAUUGAUCUUGCAAAAGAAGCAGGGUGGCAGAGCGACCACUUCAUUAGUCUCCCCGAGCUACAAAUCACCUGCUAGUGCUGCGGCACUCAAGAGGGGACCGGUGUUACCCGCGCCACAUUACUACAGCCUCAACAGUCUGAAGUGACCGCCUGUUCAUGCCGCCAUUAUGAGUGAGUUAUGGAGCGAUGCAAAAAAAUAUUCUCUACACAUCCGGUAUUACUGCGGGUCACAGUCGACAGUCCCACGAUGAAUGUGCCGAGCUUUAAGUGCGGCAUAAUCCACAGAGGGAAAAAGCCCGGCAGGCUGGAGGCUCGCUUUUGUUUGUGCACCUGCCUCCCCUGGUGAAAUCACCUUUUUCAAAGUGUGUUAAGGAAGUUGGUCCACUUGUUCGACAAAAACUAAUGAUGCACAGAAUAGCCUUUGAUUGUAGUCUUUAUUGUAUUUUGUGGUGCUUCAUUUAAAAAAACGAUACCAACGCUACAUAGAACACUGUAUUAAACCUAUGGGUUUCCCUGUGAAGAGUGUGAUUUGAUGAUAUUUUGUAGUGCGCUGCUCCAUAAUUUUGCAUAUCAAGGACAGGAAGUAGUGAACCAUUGGGGGAGUGGCUUUUUGCUUCAGUGUGGCUCGAUUGGCUCGUUUUAUUCAAUGGAAAGUGAUGAAAGUGGGAAUUAUGAUGCACAGGUUCUACAAGACGGUACACACGAUUUCUGAUCCUGUUGGCUUGAUCGUACUACUAACUGUUGUUCAGCUGGAAGUGUCCUACACAUUUCCAACGGAGAGCAGUCUCCAAGUCUUUAUUGUAAGAUGAUACUUUUGAGAUCUCCCACUCACUAUCUCACUCUCAAUUUUGUUCGAAAUAGUAUAAUAAAAUACAUUUUUACACUUUUAUGAACAAAAACAAAAAUUGUGUGUGUUGCGUUAUUUAAAAGCAGUAAACUAAAACUAAAACUGUGCAAUGCCAUUUGUUUGAGACAGUCGACACUACUGCCAUGUCCCAUAUAACAAGGAUUGCUCAUUCUUUGAUUUGUUGGGCUUAUUAAUAGGAAUUAAAGUUGUCCCUGAAGACCCCCAAAAGAGCCUUUUCUGGUCAUUAUUCCUCACAGGUGUUUCAAUCAUUCCAAUAUUCAGUUAAGAGGCUUACUUGUUGUUUCAUAGGUCAUGGGGUUGCAGCAUGUGCACUUGAAAUAAAUACAUUUUUUAUAAUUAAGUUGAAUGUUUGUUAUGUAUCACACACUAUCAGGUCACUCUGUAAGUCCAUUUGAAGAAGCCACAACGCAGCACACACAUUUCUACAUAUUCUUUUUCUAUUUUAGUUUUACGUAUGCAAAACAACAAACAUUCUAAUGGACAUCUAUGAUUAUAUUAUAUACAUACUAUAAUCAAGUUCAGUUUUUCCUAAUAAUGUUAUGAGGAGCAAAGGGUUAACAAUUAAGUUGAGUAUGGUUGUUUUUUACAGUUGUACAUCAGUAGUAUGUAGAAUAAAAUCCUCAAGGCUUUUACUGAUCAAGCCUUUAAUAUCAUAAAAACAUCCCAAGAGCUACACAUUUAAAGAAUAUUAUAGGAAAUAACCCUACGAAAUCGGAAUUUUGCUCCCCUCUUUGGAGUUGAAUAUUAGAAAACUACAUUAUUAACAUUACACUCAUUUCUUCAAUGCACCAUGCAUCAAUGCAUCACUUUUCAGAAAUUUUGAGAGGUGGCAGCGGUGGGUGAUCAAAUAAACUCGUGCCUUCAAUCAAGAGACAAAUGGCCUCGUGGUUCAGCAACAAUGUUGAGGUGACCCGUAAGCACAAUGAACAGCUACACAUUAUCCUCUGAGAACAACAGUGACAGAGGACUCAGAGGACUUAGAAGUAUUAUUUCAAGCUGAAUGAAAACAAGCACUUAAGCUUUUCAUGAGUAAAAGUCAUUACCUUGAUUAGCUAAUGAAUGUCAUAGGUGUUGCAUUAGUAUACAUAAUGGUGAAAACUUACCAGACACUUUUAAAACUGUCCUGACAGGAGCUUUAUUCAUUUCAAGGAUGUUGAAACCAAUGCCACAGCAAUACUCCCAGAGGUAUUUCAAAAACACAAUUUACUUAUAGAAAUAAUAAAGUAGAGAACCAUUGAUAGAAACUGAUCUAGAUAUUUAGAUGUGAUAUGUUGCUUGCUGGCUCUGUAUAUUUCGCCCGUCCCUCGUUAUCACUUUCUUGUCAUUGUGUAUUUAUUCUUAUUCUUAGUCUGUGCAUCUUUCUUUCAGUUUCUUGAACACUGUCUAUAUUCUAUAUACUCUAUGGUGGACUGUUUACUUAUGUUCCGAUAACUGAUGUUAAGUAAACUCUUUUACUUUAAUCUCGUUUACUUUAGUCACCUUGUCGACACAAGGUCAUGCUAUUGAGUAUUAUUUGUGUUGGUAGAUUGAGACACGCUGAUUUAUGUAUUUAUUUUGGUUAAAGGAAAACGUGUGUACAUGUGUCAUCAUUACCCUUACAAUAUGAGCAAAUGCCUUCACGGAAAAAUCCUCGGCAGGGAGCAGGAGCCCUACUGACCCAUAAAGGUCUCUGCACGUUGCUGACUAGGAACGCCUGCAAAUCUUUGAACUAAGACAGAACUGCGAUCCUAAACAUCCCCACGAUUGUCAAUAACCUUUUCCCUUCCAUAAACCGUAGCAAUAACUGUGUCGUAUAGUCAUGACAUUUGCCAGCCCAAUAUCCCCGAGAGUUAUUGGUAAUUUCACACCGCCUGAUCUACAUCCUGUGACAACAUGGAAAAAAGUAAGGAGGUAUUGGAUAGGAAUGUAGCGCUUUUUAUGCUAGACGCUGCAUGAUGGUCAUAUGCUCACAAUCUUUGUACAGUUUUCCUGGUUUCCCCGGCCCAAGAUUUUAUUGUCAUUCAGAUAGACUUUUACUUUAGCACUACAAUUUAUUUAGAUUUUUUAAUCAAUCCUCCAUAUGAAGCAGCUCAACAUUACAGUGGCCUCAUCCGUACAGGACAGCAGCAGGCCCGUUAUACCUCUUUGAAUUACACAACUAUCACGCCACGUAAUUAGUCAGAGUAAUGAUGCCAAGCGGUCGCAGGGAAGAUGGAGCACUCCGUCAGGCCUUGGUUUGUGAUCUCUGAGGAGGCAACUUCACAGAGGGGCAGGGCAGAGUGAAAACAAAGUGCGAAGGCCUUCCAUGCACACAAAUCUUGUCAAUGGUAAUUGAUUGUUGUUGGUCACCCGCACAGGACCUGGACAAAAUCAAGUGGCUUCUCCAUAAAACAAUGUCAAAUAUUGAUGAUAUUUCUCUUUGUGGCCUCUAGAAUGAAUAGCCUCAUCCUUCCUCUAGUUUUGAUGAAUGUGUGUUAUUGCCAUCGCCUCUUGUUGUCUUUCUGUUGUCAUUUUACCUGCCGCUCGCUUGGAAUGAAAAGGAGAUGUUUCCUGCAAUUUCCUUCUUACCACUCCUCUUAAAACUAACACCUGACAAAGUCUGAUUACAUACCUAACUUUACAUUUUUAUGAACUGAAUUCAAAUCCAUUUUAGUCUGUGAUUUAUUGAUCUGCUGUGUCUUUAAAAGGGUGAUAUCCCUUUUUUCUUUUAUCACAAACAAUACAGAAAAGAUGCUGUGCCAAUGUGCACAUGGUCUGCCAUGACAGGCAAAAGACAUUUGACUUGAAAAUACACAACGUGAAUUCAAGCUCCUCUGCCUGUUUUCUACAUUUCAUCCAUCAACAUCUCUAUCAAACAAACUAUUCUCCCCUUCUUCUUAUUGUCUGUUUAAACUUGCAUGCCCCCCCCAAAGCUUUCCACACUCUAUUCCCUUUACUGUGAGCGUGAGAGGUCUAAAAGCUCGUCAAGUCCAAUGUUUCACAUCAGAAACGGUUUGUGUGCGUGUCAGUACUGGGUCUCUGGGAGAGCCAAACAACAGAGACAGACAUAUAGAGCAAAUAGGGGGGCAAAACACUAUAUGGAGUUUGUGAUGAAUGUCGGAGGGGACAGUCUAUGUUUUCUGUGAUGAUGGGGGGUAGGAGGAUUUUGAAAGACAUACUGAAUAUGACACACACACACACACGUUCUGACAGUCCCUCGCUGACUUGUGCAGCUUAACAAAUGCAUCAGAAGAAUGUCCAUCAAUUAUUCAAUCCCCUGGUUUGGAAAAGUGCGUUUCUGUGUGUGUUUGUGCACAUAUUUUUAGAGGGGUGUGGGGGGGGGGGUUAAAAAAGUCCCCCAAGGUUAGGCCCAUUUUGAAAAAGGGGGACCAUGCUAAACGGCAGACAGCGGUGAUACAAGUACAGCACUGGUCCAAGGGAAAUGUAGCGAUUUGCACCAAGGAGGCAGCGCCUCUGCACUGAUACUGCACAUGAAACAUGAGAGACACAAGGUUAGUAUGCUUUCACGGCUAAUUGCUGUAUUGCCACCCCUGUGCUUACUAUCCUUACUUACUAGGUUAAAUUCUCAUCAGUCUCGGUGGUCCACAUUGUUCCUGGAGCAGGUCUGCACACACACUAACGGCACCCUCUCAAGGAAACACUGUCAUUUUUACGAUGGUCUACUGCUUCUCCAAGGUGGCUCACUUCGUGCUGCCCAGGCUCCCCUUAGCCAAGGAAACGGCUUACAUCAUGGUCAGCUAGGUGUUCCGCCGACAUGGGAUUCCUGUGGACAGACAUUGCGGCCCGCAGUUCGUAUCCCAGGUUCUGGAAAGCAUUUCGGUCGGGACCUUGGUGCAACUAUCCUGUCUUCCGGCUUCAACCCCCAACCUAAUGGACAGACAAAGACCCCACCAGGAGCUGGAAGACUCCACUGCUUGAGGAGAUAGCCAUAGCCUCAGUCCAUCUCUGCCGCUGUAGGGAGGUGUGGAAGGAGACACGGUCCGCCUCCGAUGCCGCCGCAUUUCUUCCCCCGCGUUGCCAGGUCGUUCAAAGGGUCGGACUCUCUACCACGGACAUCCCACUAAGGACCAUAUCCCAGUAGAUGUCGCCCCAAUUCAUUGGCUCCUUUGAGAUCCGUGCCAUUAUCAACACUUCUACGGUCCAUCUGUCACUCCCCUAGACCAUGAUGAUCCACCCGACAUUUCAUGUGUCACAAAUUUAACCAAUGUUCACCACUGCCCUGACCCCUGUAUGUGGGUACCAGUCUUACAAGACCAGUUACAGAUUUCUCAACUCUGAUACUUAUCUGUUCCUGCCAGUUUAAAGCCGUCCCGUGUCAUUCCACGGAGAUCAACAUUAAAUGUAAGCCUGC